Molecule: ribosomal RNA, 253 nt
Filed under: uncultured bacterium
Lineage: Bacteria
Description: partial 16S ribosomal RNA
Rfam family: Bacterial small subunit ribosomal RNA
Source: RNAcentral
UACGUAGGGUGCAAGCGUUGUCCGGAAUUAUUGGGCGUAAAGAGCUCGUAGGCGGUUUGUUGCGUCGGCUGUGAAAUCCCGAGGCUCAACCUCGGGUCUGCAGUCGAUACGAGCAAACUAGAGUGUUGCAGGGGAGACUGGAAUUCCUGGUGUAGCGGUGAAAUGCGCAGAUAUCAGGAGGAACACCGGUGGCGAAGACGGGUCUCUGGGCAACAACUGACGCUGAGGAGCGAAAGCGUGGGGAGCGAACAGG